CUAGGAGGUGUAGGCUUACCCGGC
Molecule: non-coding RNA, 24 nt
Filed under: Vibrio phage 2.044.O._10N.261.51.B8
Lineage: Duplodnaviria; Heunggongvirae; Uroviricota; Caudoviricetes
Source: RNAcentral